Molecule: ribosomal RNA, 253 nt
Filed under: uncultured bacterium
Lineage: Bacteria
Description: partial 16S ribosomal RNA
Rfam family: Bacterial small subunit ribosomal RNA
Source: RNAcentral
UACAGAGGGGGCAAGCGUUGUUCGGAAUUACUGGGCGUAAAGGGCGCGUAGGCGGCCUUCUAAGUCGAACGUGAAAUCCCCGGGCUCAACCCGGGAACUGCGUCCGAUACUGGAAGGCUUGAAUCCGGGAGAGGGAUGCGGAAUUCCAGGUGUAGCGGUGAAAUGCGUAGAUAUCUGGAGGAACACCGGUGGCGAAGGCGGCAUCCUGGACCGGCAUUGACGCUGAGGCGCGAAAGCGUGGGGAUCAAACAGG